Molecule: ribosomal RNA, 958 nt
Filed under: Entrophospora claroidea
Lineage: Eukaryota; Fungi; Glomeromycota; Glomeromycetes; Entrophosporales; Entrophosporaceae
Description: partial 28S ribosomal RNA
Rfam family: Eukaryotic large subunit ribosomal RNA
Source: RNAcentral
GACCUCAAAUCAGGCAAGAAUACCCGCUGAACUUAAGCAUAUCAAUAAGCGGAGGAAAAGAAACUAACAAGGAUUCCCCUAGUAACGGCGAGUGAAGAGGGAAGAGCUCAAAUUUUAAAUCUGCCUUGUUUCAAGGUCGAGUUGUAAUUUGAAGAAGCGUUUUCUUGGGCUCGCGGCCGGUAGAAGUUCUUUGGAACAGGACAUCAUAGAGGGUGACAAUCCCGUCUGCGACCGGUCGUGCGUUCAUCUACGAUACGCUUUCAAAGAGUCGAGUUGUUUGGGAUUGCAGCUCCAAAUGGGUGGUAAACAUCACCUAAGGCUAAAUAUUGGCGAGAGACCGAUAGCGAACAAGUACCGUGAGGGAAAGAUGAAAAGAACUUUGAAAAGAGAGUUAAACAGUACGUGAAAUUGUUGAAAGGGAAACGAUUGAAGUCAGUCGUGCUGGCGCGAAAUCAACCCUCUCAUCGGGAGAUCACAUGUUGUGGCGAGCCUCAAAACCGCCACAGCGUGUGACCUCACGAUGAGGGGGAGCACUUUCGUGUCCGCUGGUUAACAUCAAUUUCGAACGUCAUAAAAAGGCUGGAGGGAUGUGGCUCCUUCGGGAGUGUUAUAACCUUUAGCGGAAUGUGGUGGUCGGGAUUGAGGAUUGCAACGAAUACCUUUAGGGCUGUUCCACCUGGCCUCUCUUUGGUAUCCUGGUGACGACAGCUUGCUGACGUUGUUAGGACUCGCCUUUGAACAGGCUAGAGUGUGAGCAAAUUCGUUAAGGAUGUUAACGUAAUGGCUUUAAACGACCCGUCUUGAAACACGGACCAAGGAGUCUAGCAUAUAUGCGAGUGUUUGAGUGUUGAAACUCGAGCGCGAAAUGAAAGUGAUAUUGGUAAGAUCCUCUUCCCCUCGGGGGAGCGGAGCAUUAUCGACCGAUCUGGAUAUUCUUUGAUAGAUUUGAGUAAGAGCA